UGCAUUUUACAAGAAUGAACAGAAUGAACAUAACUGAACAUAACCUGCAUUUUACAAGAAUAUUUACAACUGAAUGAAACAGAACUGAACAUAACCUGCAUUUUACAAAACAUAACCUGAUAACCAAGAAUGCAAAACAAAACCUGAUAACCAAAAUAAAACAAAACAUAACCUGAUAACCAAAACAAAACAAGAUAUUUUUAAAACAAGAUAUAAUCAUGAAUUCACCACUAACACUAAUUCACCAAAACAAAGUCAUAACCAUAUGAUAAAAUAUAACCUGAUAAAACAUAACCUGAUAACAAUACAAAGUCAUAACCAUAUGAUAAAACAUAACCUGAUUACAAUACAAAGUGUUAUAGAACAUAACCUCAUAAGUCAUAACCAUAUGAUAAAACAUAACCUGAUAAACUGAACAUAACAGAACAUAACAUCAUUUUAUCAGCUGAACAUAACAGAACUAAAGUAACAACUACUCACUAGUAAGUAAUCCAAUCAACCAUAUUACAUAUCCAACUAAUCCAAGAUUAAAACAAACAACGCACAACGGCACAAGGCACAAUUCUCUCAACUAUCAAGUCCCCAUUCUCGAACAAAUCAACCAUAUUACAUAUCCAAGAUUGAUGCAUCUAAAUCGCCUGCUGAAAAUUCUGCAAUUUUUAAAAGACAAAUGUGAGCAAAUCAUAAUU
Molecule: long non-coding RNA, 689 nt
Filed under: Panax ginseng (ginseng)
Lineage: Eukaryota; Viridiplantae; Streptophyta; Magnoliopsida; Apiales; Araliaceae
Description: long non-coding RNA (PGIN_LNC013311)
Source: RNAcentral